GCCGCCGAUGAGCGGACCGACCCAGUAGACCCAGUGGUCGCUCCAGGACCAGCUCACCAGCGCCGGCCCGAAGGACACCGCCGGGUUCAUCGACGCCCCGUCGAAGGCCCCACCGGCGAGGAUGUUGGCUCCCACGAUGAAACCGAUCGCAAUCGGUGCAAUCGUCCCGAGGUUGCCCCUCUUGGGGUCCACGGCGGUGGCGUACACGGUGUAGACUAGGCCGAAGGUCAUGACGAUCUCGAGGACGAGCGCCUCCCAGACGCUGACGCCGGUGAGGCCGAAGGUGCCGGUGGAGAGGCCGCCGGUGGAGAAGCGAAGGAGGAAGCAGGCAAUAGUGGAGCCGAGGAGCUGAGCGAACCAGUAGAGAAUCCCUCUGAGAAGAG
Molecule: long non-coding RNA, 383 nt
Filed under: Elaeis guineensis (African oil palm)
Lineage: Eukaryota; Viridiplantae; Streptophyta; Magnoliopsida; Arecales; Arecaceae
Description: long non-coding RNA (EGUI_LNC076144)
Source: RNAcentral